Molecule: ribosomal RNA, 703 nt
Filed under: Escherichia coli
Lineage: Bacteria; Pseudomonadati; Pseudomonadota; Gammaproteobacteria; Enterobacterales; Enterobacteriaceae
Description: partial 23S ribosomal RNA
Rfam family: Bacterial large subunit ribosomal RNA
Source: RNAcentral
AACCUUUACUAUAGCUUGACACUGAACAUUGAGCCUUGAUGUGUAGGAUAGGUGGGAGGCUUGGAAGUGUGGACGCCAGUCUGCAUGGAGCCGACCUUGAAAUACCACCCUUUAAUGUUUGAUGUUCUAACGUUGACCCGUAAUCCGGGUUGCGGACAGUGUCUGGUGGGUAGUUUGACUGGGGCGGUCUCCUCCUAAAGAGUAACGGAGGAGCACGAAGGUUGGCUAAUCCUGGUCGGACAUCAGGAGGUUAGUGCAAUGGCAUAAGCCAGCUUGACUGCGAGCGUGACGGCGCGAGCAGGUGCGAAAGCAGGUCAUAGUGAUCCGGUGGUUCUGAAUGGAAGGGCCAUCGCUCAACGGAUAAAAGGUACUCCGGGGAUAACAGGCUGAUACCGCCCAAGAGUUCAUAUCGACGGCGGUGUUUGGCACCUCGAUGUCGGCUCAUCACAUCCUGGGGCUGAAGUAGGUCCCAAGGGUAUGGCUGUUCGCCAUUUAAAGUGGUACGCGAGCUGGGUUUAGAACGUCGUGAGACAGUUCGGUCCCUAUCUGCCGUGGGCGCUGGAGAACUGAGGGGGGCUGCUCCUAGUACGAGAGGACCGGAGUGGACGCAUCACUGGUGUUCGGGUUGUCAUGCCAAUGGCACUGCCCGGUAGCUAAAUGCGGAAGAGAUAAGUGCUGAAAGCAUCUAAGCACGAAACUUGCC